This 419-nucleotide ribosomal RNA is filed under the name uncultured eukaryote. RNAcentral's name for it is "bacterial SSU rRNA". It matches the Rfam family "Eukaryotic small subunit ribosomal RNA", at positions 592 to 1017 of the family's 1831-position model. The record is from RNAcentral.
CAAUAGCGUAUAUUAAAGUUGUUGCGGUUAAAAAGCUCGUAGUUGGAUUUCUGCCGAGGACGACCGGUCCGCCCUCUGGGUGAGUAUCUGGUUCGGCCUGGGCAUCUUCUUGGAGAACGUAUCUGCACUUGACUGUGUGGUGCGGUAUCCAGGACUUUUACUUUGAAAAAAUUAGAGUGUUCAAAGCAGGCUGACCGCUUGAAUACAUGAGCAUGGAAUAAUGGAAUAGGACUUUGGUUCUAUUUUGUUGGUUUCUUGAACCGAAGUAAUGAUUAAGAGGACAGUUGGGGGCAUUCGUAUUUCGUUGUCAGAGGUGAAAUUCUUGGAUUUACGAAAGACGAACAACUGCGAAAGCAUUUGCCAAGAAUGUUUCAUUAAUCAAGAACGAAAGUUAGAGGCUCGAAGACGAUCAGAUACCG